AUGCCUGUGUCCCAGACCGGCCUCUUCGGUGACGUGGUCGAGAACCUGGCCCAGCAGUUCUUGGCUGCACGGGAGCAGACUGAGGCGGUCCAACCUUCUGCCCGGCGGGCAGCUGCUGCCUCCACCCGUCCGCCGGUUGCAACGCCCCAGCCUGCUCGUCACCGAGGGCGGCCCCCUGCGUCCACCCGCUCCCGCGCCGCAUCCGCAGCAGCCUCCAGCAAGUGGCGCCGUAGAGCUGGGCAUAGGCAGGCCGCCCCACCCGUCCUGGCCCCCGUCAAACCUGGCGGUGAGCGGAAGAGCAAGAGGCCCCGGGGACGGGGUGGCCCAGAGAGAGGAAGCCGCUUUCUGGGGGAUGGUGAAAGCACCUCUCCCUCCCCUGAAGGAGGGCCAGGGGAGAAUCUGGAAAUCUCGACGAGAGAGCGGUUUUCUCUGUCUCUGGGUCCCAGGAGGGCACGGAGAGUUGCGGACGGCCAAACACCGGACCUCACUCAUCCUCCUCCUUCGCCAGAUGGCAGCAGCGGGCGGUUCGAGAGCGUCAACAAAGGCCCUACUCACGCACCCUCUGCCAACCCGUGGAACCAGGUGAGCCCUGCACCCCACACUCGCACCACACUCAGGCCUGCUCACAAGCCGCCCGAGAUGGGUCCCUGUGUUCCACCUCGCUGCCCCACUGCGGGUACGGCUGUGGUUCCGCUGGUCCCGCUUGUACGGUUUCUAAGCGCCUGGUCAGCGCUACCCAGCCCGUCUCGCUGGCUCCUGCGGACCAUCAGCCUCGGCUAUGCGAUUCAGUUCGCCCGGCGUUCCCCCAAGUUCAGCGGUAUCCGCUUCACUACAGUGAAAGCGUCCGAUGCCCCUGUUCUGCGGGAAGAGAUUGCAGUCUUACUGGCGAAAGACGCGAUAGAGCCGGUCCCUCCAGCCGAUAUGAGGACGGGGUUUUACAGCCCCUGCUUCAUUGUACCCAAGAAAGGCGGUGGGUUACGACCAAUCUUGGAUCUGCGAGUUUUGAACCAGGCCCUUCAUCGGCUACCGUUCAAGAUGUUGACGCAGAAACGCAUCUUCGGGUGCGUCCGUCCCCGAGAUUGGUUUGCAGCGAUCGACCUGAAGGAUGCGUACUUUCAUGUGUUGAUCCUUCCGCGCCACAGACCUUUUCUGCGGUUUGCGUCUGAAGGACAGGCAUAUCAGUACAAGGUCCUGCCCUUCGGGCUGUCCCUUUCUCCCCGUGUCUUCACGAAAGUCACAGAGGCGGCUCUUGUUCCCCUCAGAGAGCAGGGUGUUCGUAUUCUCAACUAUCUAGACGAUUGGCUGAUACUAGCACAAUCUCGGGAUCAGUUGUGCGAACACAGGGACCUGGUGCUCCGGCACCUCAGCCUGUUGGGCCUUCGGGUCAACUGGGAAAAGAGCAAACUCUUGCCAACGCAGAGGAUCUCUUUUCUCGGUAUGGAGUUGGAUUCGGUCGAACAGACAGCACGCCUCAUAGAGGAACGUGCGCGGUCGGUGCAAGCCUGCUUGAAUACAUUCAAGAGCAGGACAGCGGUCCCACUGAAACUCUUUCAGAGGCUCCUGGGGCAUAUGGCGGCCGCAGCGGCACUUACACCGCUCGGCCUGUUACAUAUGAGACCGCUCCAGCACUGGCUUUAUGGCCGAGUCCCGAGGUGGGCGUGGAAGCGCGGCACUCACCGGGUCCAAGUUACACCGGCCUGUCGCCAAACCCUCACCCCGUGGUCAGAUCUUGCGUUUCUCAGGGCAGGGGCGCCCCUAGAGCAGAUCUCCAGGCAUGCUGUGGUUUACACGGAUGCCUCCACCACCGGCUGGGGGGCCACGUACAACGGGCAUGCAGUCUCAGGGGUUUGGACGGGCCCGCAGCUGCAGUGGCACAUCAGUUGCCUAGAGUUGUUAGCAGUGCACCUUGCCUUGAACCGUCUCAAAGGUCACUUACGAGGCAAGCAUGUGCUGGUCUGA
Molecule: long non-coding RNA, 1959 nt
Organism: Cyprinus carpio carpio
Lineage: Eukaryota; Metazoa; Chordata; Actinopteri; Cypriniformes; Cyprinidae
Source: Ensembl